CAGUCGCCACGGGAAUACGAAGGGUGCAAGCGUUACUCGGAAUUACUGGGCGUAAAGCGUGCGUAGGCGGUGAGUUAAGUCUGCUGUGAAAUCCCCGGGCUCAACCUGGGAAUGGCAGUGGAUACUGGCAAGCUAGAGUGUGUCAGAGGAUGGUGGAAUUCCCGGUGUAGCGGUGAAAUGCGUAGAGAUCGGGAGGAACAUCAGUGGCGAAGGCGGCCAUCUGGGACAACACUGACGCUGAGGCACGAAAGCGUGGGGAGCAAACAGGAUUAGAUACCCCGGUAGUCCCUGUCUCUUAUAC
This 301-nucleotide ribosomal RNA is filed under the name uncultured bacterium. Its description in RNAcentral is "partial 16S ribosomal RNA". It matches the Rfam family "Bacterial small subunit ribosomal RNA", at positions 509 to 807 of the family's 1533-position model. The record is from RNAcentral.